Molecule: long non-coding RNA, 157 nt
Filed under: Callithrix jacchus (white-tufted-ear marmoset)
Lineage: Eukaryota; Metazoa; Chordata; Mammalia; Primates; Cebidae
Description: lncRNA (ENSCJAG00000055742.2)
Source: RNAcentral
AUGAAGAAGAAUAAGAAGGAGGGAAAAGAGAAAAGACUAAGAAGAGCCAUGCCCAGACCUGAUAAAAAGAUUAUGGAGCACCAUUCAGAGAUCCUGGACUCGAAAAUUGAUUCAGUCACUGGAUGGAACUUUGGGCCAUGAAUUGAGUGCCUGCCAU